This 253-nucleotide ribosomal RNA is filed under the name uncultured bacterium. Its description in RNAcentral is "partial 16S ribosomal RNA". It matches the Rfam family "Bacterial small subunit ribosomal RNA", at positions 524 to 776 of the family's 1533-position model. RNAcentral also lists the same sequence under 1 other name. The record is from RNAcentral.
UACGGAGAGUGCAAACGUUGUUCGGAUUCACUGGGCGUAAAGGGCACGUAGGCGGCUCGGCAAAUCGGUCGUGGAAUCUCGACGCUUACCGUCGAAACGGCGGCCGAAAAUACCGGGCUCGAGGGCGUGAGGGGUCACUGGAACUCCUGGUGAAGCGGUGAAAUGCGUAGAUAUCAGGAGGAACGCCGGAGGCGAAAGCGAGUGACUGGCGCGUUCCUGACGCUGAGGUGCGAAAGCUAGGGGAGCAAACAGG